UGCUUGAAGCAGCCACUGGGGGAAGGAGUGUACCUUUUGCCCACCUCAGCCAUCAGGGUUUCUGGCUGUAGACUUGCUCUCCUGACACAUCAAAGCCAUGGACAGCUAUUCUUCUACAUGAUCUGACGAUUAUGUUCCUUGCCCAGUUUUCUGCUCUUUUUACCAUCGAACAGCCUGGAGCUCCAUGAAUCAUAAGCAACAGCAAUUCAGAACAUUUUUAGAUAGAUAGCUUAGUUCUCACUGAGGUGGCAAACCUUAUGGAUCUGGGCUACAGCACUUCUCAGUUCACAUGUGGGCUCACAUUAUUGACAACAUGAGUGGAGCAAUCCAAGAGGACAGAUGGAGGUAGAGCCAAAAGCAGAUGAACCAUUUCUCAUAUUCCGGUUUUUUGUUUUUGAAACAGUUUCCCUUACAUUAAAGGAAACAAGCUCUGUCACCUCCAAGGCUGGUGUAGUUUGUCCCCCCACCUAUCCCAUUCCAAGAGUGUGUCAGCCAAAUGGGAAGUUGGUAGCUAUUAAG
Podarcis raffonei (Aeolian wall lizard) is the source of this 519-nucleotide long non-coding RNA. RefSeq lists it as uncharacterized. The transcript is spliced from 3 exons. NCBI's taxonomy places the organism in Eukaryota, Metazoa, Chordata, Lepidosauria, Squamata, Lacertidae. The record is from RefSeq and is a predicted model, not a curated record.